UUCCUAUCUGGACAUGCUUAAUUCUGUGUCAUGGUACAGCCUGGCAGACAAGGAGGCAUUGAGCACUUCACCCCAGCUGGGGAAGCAGCUGAAUACAGAGAACAUAGUCAAGUUGUGGAGAAUGACCAUGCUGGGCCAGUGAAGACGAAUUUUCUACGUGCUUCAAUAGCCAACAGCUCAUAGAUGAACAUAUCUCAUUGCCUACAAAUAAUCUGUGAAGAAAUAAGCCUGGCAAGUGACAUUCUACCACAGAAGCAAACCACACUCCCCACCAAGUUAUAGAAGAUGUUGAGGCCCAUGCAUGAAAGGGGAAAGGUUGAGAUAUGCUCUAUAAACCCAGCCUACUAGAGUCUUAUACUUGUGUGGAGUUCAACAUCGGGACAAUUACCUGAAGGCACAAAGUAACUGCGAAAGAGGUGUCCAUUGCCUUCUGUCUUCUUUUAUUUCUUUUCCUGGAAAAAAAAAAGGUCUUGAUUAUAUGGCCAGGAUCCAAGCAAGAACCCAGCCACUGAUUCAGCAGCCAUCCCAUCAGAAGUCUGAGUUCUGUUCUGUUUUCUGUUCCUUUUACUUUACACCAUUAUGCUUUAUUGGCUCAUACCUCCCCUGGCCAACACAGCCUCAGGAUGGCAAAACUUGUCUGUUCUCUUUGAGCAGCUUGCAGAUGGCUUGUGGUGUGUAUGCAGAGGGGCUUAAACUCACCUUGCCUCUGAAACCCUGGAGAGCCCUAAAAGCAGAGCUUGUAGGGGCUGAUGGCUAGAGACUCUGAGUCAGCAGAUUUGGUUGGGAUAGGGACUCUAUAUUUCUCAUGAACUCCUUGGUUAUGCUACCACAUAAGCCGCUGCUGGUGUAUGGAUCUGACUUUGAGCACAGCUGUGGUUGUAGAUAUGAAAUUACAGAACAGCUGUACUACUCAAAUUCUGGCUUUUAAGGCGCUCAUCUCUGUGGUUCUCCUCCCCUACCUCCCAACCCCCUGUAAACUGGGAGUUUUGGUCCAGGUAAUCGUUAAGUACAGCCCUGUUCCUUCUUAACUCGAGCUCCCAUCUUUUGCUUCUCUGUGUGUCUUUGAUGGUUCUUUGCUUCAUAAGAACAGCCUUUUACCUCCAUCAUCAACCUCUUCUCUUUUUGAUUUUGUUUUGAUGUUUACUUCCUUGUUCUAGCUGUGAAUUAAUUUUCUAAAUCUAUUCAAUAAAUAUGGUAAAUGUUUAUAGUAUUUAAAG
Mastomys coucha (southern multimammate mouse) is the source of this 1217-nucleotide long non-coding RNA. RefSeq lists it as uncharacterized. The record is from RefSeq and is a predicted model, not a curated record. The transcript has 2 exons. Lineage: Eukaryota; Metazoa; Chordata; Mammalia; Rodentia; Muridae.